This 86-nucleotide small RNA is filed under the name Flavobacterium micromati. Its description in RNAcentral is "Flavo-1 RNA". It matches the Rfam family "Flavo-1 RNA". The record is from Rfam by way of RNAcentral. Lineage: Bacteria; Pseudomonadati; Bacteroidota; Flavobacteriia; Flavobacteriales; Flavobacteriaceae.
AGUUAGUUGCGUGAGGGAUGUAGCGGAAAUCCUUUUUUAUUCUUGACAAAGAAUAAAAAAGAUUGGGAGCGAAAGCCCGACCCGAA